AGCAAGCUAAAAAUGGAAACGUUAGUAUGAAAUGAUGAAUUUACUACACUAAAACAAAAAAAANCUUUGAUAUCAAUAUGGACUCACAUUGACCUGAUUAUUGAGAUAAUAAUUGAUCCUGUGACCUUCAUAACAAUAUGGAUUCACCUUGUUGCUGUAUAGUAUUGAACUGAUUAUCAAGAUGUUAAACAAUGUGAUAACCUGUUGAUGGUUCUGUGACCUUCAUUACAAAUUAUGGAUUCACCCUUGGCUGUAUGAGUAUUGACCUGAUUAUCAAGAUAAUCAAUGCAGUAACCUGGUGAUGACCCUGUGACCUUCAUAACAAUAUGGACUCACCUUAAUGUAUGAGUAUUGACCUCAUUAUCAAGAUGAUAAUUAAUGUGGUAACCUGGUGAUGACCCUGUGACCUUCAUAACAAUAUGAACUCACCUUACUGUAUGAGUAUUGACCUCAUUAUUAAGAUGAUAAUUGAUGUGGUAGCCCUGGUGAUGACCCUGUGACCUUCAUAACAAUAUGGACUCACCUUAAUGUAUGAGUAUUGACCUCACUGUCAAGAUGAUAAUUGAUGUGGUAACCUGGUGAUGACCCUGUGACCUUCAAAGCAAUAUAUACUCAUGGUUAAUCCAUUAUGGUUACCCUGUGGUAGAGGAAGAUAAUCCAACAUGUUUCCUUUACAUGUUCCAAGGAGCAGCUUAUUCCUGAUCAUCAGCUUGUCAACCUCUCUAGCCAAGCAUUUGGUUGUCAUAGUGAUGAUGAUGUCUGGCCAGCAGAUAUAACACAGACAGCUAUUUCACAGUCUCCAGCCAAGUAUCUGGUUGUCAUAGAGAUGAAGCUGUGAAGCUCUGGCUGGCUAUGGCUAUGCAGAGACAUGCAUAUUAUUAAUGAUGUUAAUAGCUAUCCCAAAUCUGUCAUACUCACAUCAACCAAGCUGUUGUCCUGCAAAGCCUUGUCAGAUGAUGCAGCACCAUCAAGAGAUGCAGUCAAUCAGUACUGAAGACAGGAAUCACCCACAAAGGAUAAGAAUAUCAUGCCAUCAGAUUGAGUAGCAUAACUUAUAGGAUGAAAUCUAGAAUCAUUCAGGAAUUUCAACAUUUCAAAAAAAAAAGAGAGAGAAAUUUAGCAUAAUCUAGGAAUUUCACCCCCAAAAAAUGAAAAUCUAGCAUUUUCUAGAAGUAUAAAAAUUUCAAAGCUGGCAUUUCAAAAAAUAAAAUAAAGCCAAAACAAAAAAAAAACAAACUAAUACAACCUAGGCCUAGGAUAAAACUAGAUCCAACAUCUAGCAUGAACUAAGAUUAUGAAGGGGGGUCAAAGUCACCAGUUACAAUGAAAAGAAUUUAAGAAUAAGAAUUUAAAAAAGUUUUUAGUGCUUUACCUAGGCCUAGGACUAAAAAUCUAGCAUAAUUUAGUCAAUAUUUCAACAAGAACAAAAAAAGGGAAAAAGUCUAGCAAUAGUAAAGAUGACCUUUUUGGACUAGAGGACUGGUAAAAUGCAGGGCUCAAAAUAGCAAGCACAAUGUAAAUUUCUGUAACCAUUUUAAUUUAAAAGUGCACUUGAAAAUCAUUUUAUCUUGCUUGCAAUUAGUAAUGGUUUUUAUAUUGGCUGCUAUUUUGAGUCCUGCAGAUAAGUUUAUUUCACAAGUACUUUUGUAGGAAUGUUAAUCUU
This 1663-nucleotide long non-coding RNA is filed under the name Actinia tenebrosa (Australian red waratah sea anemone). RNAcentral describes it as "uncharacterized LOC116295169". Lineage: Eukaryota; Metazoa; Cnidaria; Anthozoa; Actiniaria; Actiniidae. The record is from RNAcentral.